This 1480-nucleotide ribosomal RNA is filed under the name uncultured Spirochaetota bacterium. RNAcentral's name for it is "bacterial SSU rRNA". It matches the Rfam family "Bacterial small subunit ribosomal RNA". Lineage: Bacteria; Pseudomonadati; Spirochaetota. The record is from RNAcentral.
ACGAACGCUGGCGGCGCGUCUUAAGCAUGCAAGUCGAGCGGUAAGGGGGAGCAAUCCCCCCUAGAGCGGCGGACUGGUGAGUAACGCGUGGGCGACCUGCCCCGGGGAUGGGGACAGCCGUUGGAAACAGCGGGUAAUACCGAAUACGCCCGGCCGCUUGCGAGCGGCCGGGGAAAGGGGCUAAGGCCCCGCCCCGGGACGGGCCCGCGUCCCAUUAGCUAGUUGGAGGGGUAACGGCCCGCCAAGGCGAAGAUGGGUAGCCGGCCUGAGAGGGCGAACGGCCACACUGGGACUGAGAUACGGCCCAGACUCCUACGGGAGGCAGCAGCUAAGAAUAUUCCGCAAUGGGCGAAAGCCUGACGGAGCGACGCCGCGUGGAUGACGAAGGCCGAAAGGUUGUAAAAUUCUUUUGCGGGCGAAGAAGAAGGCGGGCAGGGAAUGGCCCGCCGGUGACGCCGGCCCGCGAAUAAGCCCCGGCUAAUUACGUGCCAGCAGCCGCGGUAACACGUAAGGGGCGAGCGUUGUUCGGAAUUAUUGGGCGUAAAGGGCGCGUAGGCGGCCGCGUAAGUCUGAUGUGAAAUAUCAGGGCUCAACCCUGGGACUGCACUGGAAACUGCGCGGCUUGAGUCACGGAGGGGGAAGCCGGGAAUUCCUGGUGUAGGGGUGAAAUCUGUAGAUAUCAGGGAAGAACAUCGAUGGGUGAACGCAGGCUUUCCAUCCGAUGACUGACGCUGAGGUGCGAAAAGCUCGGGGGAAGCAAACAGAAUUAGAUACCCUGGUAGUCCACGCCGUAAACGAUGAGCAAUAGAUGUUGGGGCCGCAAGGUUUCGGCGCCGCAGUUAACGCAAUAAGUGCUCCGCCUGGGGAGUACGCACGCAAGUGUGAAACUCAAAGGAAUUGACGGGGGACCCGCACAAGCAGCGGAGCAUGUGGUUUAAUUCGAAGCAACGCGAAGAACCUUACCAGGGCUUGACAUCCUCCUGACCGGUCGGUAACGCGACCUUUCCUUCGGGACAGGGGAGACAGGUGGUGCAUGGUUGUCGUCAGCUCGUGUCGUGAGAUGUUGGGUUAAGUCCCGCAACGAGCGCAACCCUUGUCAUUAGUUGCCAGCAGGUAAAGCUGGGCACUCUAGUGAGACUGCCGGGGAUAACUCGGAGGAAGGUGGGGAUGACGUCAAAUCAUCAUGCCCCUUAUGUUCUGGGCUACACACGUGCUACAAUGGCCGGUACAAAGCGACGCAAGCCCGCGAGGGGGAGCAAAUCACUAAAACCGGUCCCAGUUCGGAUUGCAGGCUGCAACUCGCCUGCAUGAAGUCGGAGUUGCUAGUAAUCGUGAAUCAGAAUGUCACGGUGAAUGCGUUCCCGGGUCUUGUACACACCGCCCGUCACACCAUGGAAGUUGGGGGCGCCCGAAGUUGGCCGGUUAAUAGGUUACCUAAGGCGAAAUCAAUGACUGGGGUGAAGUCGUAACAAGGUAACCG